This 1321-nucleotide ribosomal RNA is filed under the name uncultured bacterium. Its description in RNAcentral is "partial 16S ribosomal RNA". It matches the Rfam family "Bacterial small subunit ribosomal RNA", at positions 96 to 1418 of the family's 1533-position model. The record is from RNAcentral.
CGGGGAACGGGUGAGUAAUACAUCGGAACAUGNCCAGUCGUGGGGGAUAACACUUCNAAAGAAGUGCUAAUACCGCAUACGUCCUGAGGGAGAAAGCGGGGGAUCGCAAGACCUCGCGCGAUUGGAGUGGCCGAUGUCAGAUUNGCUAGUUGGUGGGGNAAAGGCCUACCAAGGCAACGAUCUGUAGCUGGUCNGAGAGGAUGAUCAGCCACACUGGGANUGANACANGGCCCANACUCCUACGGGAGGCAGCNGUGGGGAAUUUUGGACANUGGGGGNACCCUGAUCCGGCCAUUCCGCGUGAGUGAAGAAGGCCUUNGGGUUGUAAAGCUCUUUCGGCAGGAACGAAACGGUGAGCUCUAACAUAGCUUGCNAAUGACGGUNCCUGAANAAGAAGNACCGGCUAACUACGUGCCNGCNGCCGCGGUAAUACGUAUGGUGCGAGCGUUAAUCGGAAUUACUGGGCGUAAAGCGUGCGCAGGCGGUUGUGUAAUACAGGUGUGAAAUCCCCGGGCUUAACCUGGGAACUGCGCUUGNGACUGCACANCUAGAGKAUGGCANAGGGGGGUGGAAUUCCACGUGUAGCAGUGAAAUGCGUACAGAUGUGGAGGAACACCAUGGCGAAGGCAGNCNCCCNGGGCCAAUACUGACGCUCAUGCACGAAAGCGUGGNNAGCAAACAGGAUUAGAUACCUUGGUNGUNCACGCCCUAAACGAUGUCGACUAGGUGUUCGGNGAGGAGACUCAUUGAGUNCCGCAGCUAACGCGUGAAGUCGNCCGCCUGGGGAGUACGGUCGCAAGAUUAAAACUCAAAGGAAUUGACGGGGACCCGCACAAGCGGUGGAUGAUGUGGAUUACUUCGAUGCAACGCGAAAAACCUUACCUACCCUUGNCAUGUACGGAACCCUGGUGAGAGGUGGGGGUGCUCGAAAGAGAGCCGUANCACAGGUGCUGCAUGGCUGUCGUCAGCUCGUGUCGUGAGAUGUUGGGNUAAGUCCCGCAACGAGCGCAACCCUUGUCAUUAGUUGNUACGCAAGAGCNCUCUAANGAGACUNCCGGUGACAAACCGGGGGAAGGUGGGGAUGACNUCAAGUCCUCAUGNCCCUUAUGGGUAGGGCNUCACACNUCAUACAAUGGUCGGNACAGAGGGUUNCCAANCCGCGAGGUGGAGCCAAUCCCAGAAAGCCGAUNGUAGUCCGGAUNGCAGUCUGCAACUCGNCUGCGUGAAGUCGGAAUCGCUAGUAAUCGCGGAUCNGCAUGCCGCGGUGAAUACGUUCCCGGGUNUUGNACNCCCCNCCCNUCACCCCAUGGGAGUGGGUUUC